This 442-nucleotide ribosomal RNA is filed under the name uncultured bacterium. RNAcentral describes it as "partial 16S ribosomal RNA". It matches the Rfam family "Bacterial small subunit ribosomal RNA", at positions 338 to 795 of the family's 1533-position model. The record is from RNAcentral.
CCUACGGGAGGCAGCAGUGGGGAAUAUUGGGCAAUGGGCGCAAGCCUGACCCAGCAACGCCGCGUGAAGGAAGAAGGCUUUCGGGUUGUAAACUUCUUUUAAGGGGGAAGAGCAGAAGACGGUACCCCUUGGAUAAGCCACGGCUAACUACGUGCCAGCAGGCGCGGUAAUACGUAGGUGGCAAGCGGUGUCCGGAUUUAAUGGGUGUAAAGGGCGUGCAGCCGGAGAGACAAGUCAGAUGUGAAAUCCACGGGCUCAACCCGUGAACUGCAUUUGAAACUGUUUCCCUUGAGUGUCGGAGAGGUAAUCGGAAUUCCGUGUGUAGCGGUGAAAUGCGUAGAUAUAAGGAAGAACACCAGUGGCGAAGGCGGAUUACUGGACGAUAACUGACGGUGAGGCGCGAAAGCGUGGGGAGCAAACAGGAUUAGAUACCCGGGUAGUC